RNAcentral lists this ribosomal RNA (119 nucleotides) under Pteropus alecto (black flying fox). Lineage: Eukaryota; Metazoa; Chordata; Mammalia; Chiroptera; Pteropodidae. The record is from RNAcentral.
GUCUACGGCUAUGCCAUCCAGAAUGUGCCCGAUUUUGUCUGAUCUCGGAAGCUAAGCAGGGUUGGGCCUGGUUAGUACUUGGAUGGGAUACCAUCUAGAAAUACUAGAUGCUGUAGGUG